Molecule: long non-coding RNA, 2234 nt
Organism: Alligator mississippiensis (American alligator)
Lineage: Eukaryota; Metazoa; Chordata; Crocodylia; Alligatoridae
Exons: 5
Source: RefSeq, a predicted model, not a curated record
CUGGUUUAGAUCAGGCCUGUCUAAGUUCAAAAGCUGCUGGGGGGCCACUUGACCCAGGGGCCUCACCAGUGGGGAACCAUGGAUCGUGGGGGCCACCCAGGCUGCACAUCCCAUGCGCAUGUGUACAGCCUGAACAGUAUCUAACAAGAAAGAAGACUCUUUAUUUUAUUAGCAUGCAAUUAGCUGGUGGCACUCGUUGCCAAAAAGUAUAAUGAAGCCAGGAGCUUGGCAGGACUCAAGAGGGAGUUGGACAUUUACAUGGUUAUCAAGACAUCUAGACCUACAAUAAUCAGGACUGGUUUAACAACAAAAACCUCAUGUUUCAAGUCAUAAACCAAGCUGUUAGUGAUGGUGAGAAGAUUAUUCCAUAACUGUCUACUCUAGGACGUCUUUCUCUGAAAGGAUUUGCUGCAAUUGUUUGUCCUAGGAUCAUCUCAGUUGGGUACACGGAAACUGCUUUUGGAGGGGGAUCAUAUACAGAUGUCACAGAAACAUGUUCACUUAUGUAAAUCAUAAAAAUAAUCCUCCUCUCUGCAAACUGACUGAGAACAAGCCAUUACUUUCAUACCAUUUGCUUUGUAAUUCCUCUGCUUUGAAUCUGGAAUGUUACUCCUACAAGGUAGCUUGUCUUUUGCUUUACUCCAGAAAUGCUUGUUUUUUCUACAGUUCAGGAGAAUAGCAGAUUAAAGAGAAUUUGUUAUUACACAGGGCCAAUUAUCAUACAACAACAUUAUGAUGUGCAUUAGACUAUGUUCUUCUCUCGGUUACCUAAGUAAUAUUGAGAAUCGCUUCAAUGCAGUAACAGAAAUAUAGCACUGCCCAGCUGGUAUAAACAGGAACAGAAAUAGGCCCCUGCCACUUGAGGGUAGCAUUUGCUGCCCAUAUGGUAAAAGAUUUCAUUAUUCUCCUUUGCAGUUUUAUUAAUACUGCUGUGGGGGUUGGGCUUUCCAGACAAUUCUGGCAAUUGUUUAGUAAAAUGGAAUUUGAACAAUUCUUUCUUUUGUGUAUCCUGAAUUUUCAUAAAUAAAUAUCUCCACUUGCUCUGAAAGAAUGUCUUUUUCUGCCCUAAUGAGAACUUAUGAGGCUUUUGCCAUGAGGAAUUGCUAGUGUCUCCUAGUCAGAGUAGUGGUCUCUUCCCAUUUUAACUUCUGUUUUUUGUUGGAUGGCCCAACUGUCUACCUCCUUCAUUUGCAAAAUCCUUGAUAUCAGAUUAAAAGUCUGGACUAUAUUAUUAGUCCAUUUCUUUUGUACUGCUAAGCUAUAUAGAGGACAUGAAUAGAAAGGACAAAGGACCCGUUAGCUCAGGUCAGCAAAAGGAGGUAACAGUCUGGACCUACUAUUCAAACUAAAUUGCAAAAGCAUGGGCUCUGUGACAUUUGAACUCUGGGAUGUGGCUAGAGUCAUUGAUUUGCUUUAUUUGGAUUUUCCCUUUGAAGUGUUUUUAUCUGACAAGGAACUGUAGCCUCCAGUGAGGUGCUAAGAUCUCGGCCCAAAUAUUAAGGAAAGAGUACUUUCUAGGGUAUUACAUUGUUUCCUAUUUUGGCAGAAUGUACUAAACAAAUUUGUGCAGCACCCCUAAGAGAGCCUCUCAAAUGCAGUGCAUUGCUUUACAAAUUGCUGAAGACACUAGGUGUUAAAGGACAUAACCCUUUUAAAGGUAGGGACAAGUUGUUUUAUACUGAAAUUAAACAAAAGUAUCUAUUCCUGCAGUUUGACUCAUGUGAAUGUACCUUUGUAUCAGUAUGGAGUACUGCUACCAUCAGUGGGACUCCAUGUGCAAUUAACUGUCCAGCAUUGUGGCCUGCACAGCAGGAUCGGGGCCUAAUUUGGCACAUAAUGGAACACAACUAAAAAGGAAGUGCUAUGUCAUGGAGAUAAAUAAGGUGAAGUCUGGAUCUAUGUAUGCUGUUGCAGUUCAUUUGACCAAAUCCCUCAUAAAGUCGACAGAGCAGCUUCAUCUAGUCUAUCAAGGGACUAAGGUCCAUGAGUUAUCAUUGACUUUCCUUGGAUCUAUGCAUGCUCAGUGUAUCUCAGGAAGCUCUCCGCAAACUGUGAAUCAGGGCCUUAACUCCAAAUAGAAAAGAGAGCAAAGACAGCUGUAGACUCUAAGUUAUUCUUCAUUCUAGCCCUCUAUAACUUUAUCUGGAUGCUGUAACUGUUUUAUAAGUGAUUUUUAUGUGUGUAAUUAUUUUUCUCAGGAUAUUUCUAAUAAAAAUAUUGUAUUUUUAAAUGCA